GUGCCUACUUUGUCAGCACAUAUACUAGAAUUGAAAUGAAUGAUACAAAGUAAAUUAGGGGGCCCCUGCACACAGAUGGCAUAAACACUUAUGAAGUGUUACAUACUUUU
This 110-nucleotide small nuclear RNA is filed under the name Otolemur garnettii (small-eared galago). The record is from RNAcentral. Lineage: Eukaryota; Metazoa; Chordata; Mammalia; Primates; Galagidae.